CAGCAGCCGCGGUAAUACGUAGGGCGCAAGCGUUAUCCGGAAUUAUUGGGCGUAAAGAGCUCGUAAGCGGUUUGUCGCGUCUGCCGUGAAAGUCCGGGGCUCAACCCCGGAUCUGCGGUGGGUACGGGCAGACUAGAGUGAUGUAGGGGAGACUGGAAUUCCUGGUGUAGCGGUGAAAUGCGCAGAUAUCAGGAGGAACACCGAUGGCGAAGGCAGGUCUCUGGGCAUUAACUGACGCUGAGGAGCGAAAGCAUGGGGAGCGAACAGGAUUAGAUACCCCAGUAGUCCCUGUCUCUUAUAC
This 301-nucleotide ribosomal RNA is filed under the name uncultured bacterium. RNAcentral's name for it is "partial 16S ribosomal RNA". It matches the Rfam family "Bacterial small subunit ribosomal RNA", at positions 509 to 807 of the family's 1533-position model. The record is from RNAcentral.